This 344-nucleotide unclassified non-coding RNA is filed under the name fungal sp. RNAcentral's name for it is "partial internal transcribed spacer region". The stretch from base 1 to 46 matches the Rfam family "Eukaryotic small subunit ribosomal RNA", at positions 1786 to 1831 of the family's 1831-position model. The record is from RNAcentral. Lineage: Eukaryota; Fungi.
AAGUCGUAACAAGGUUUCCGUAGGUGAACCUGCGGAAGGAUCAUUAACACUUUUUUGUUGAUUGUUUGGUUUUUUUUUUCAAAAAAAAACCGACAACCACAAUUAUCCUAUCCAAACUGAAGAGCUUGUGAGCAGUGUGCUUUUUUCUUCUGAAAUAAAGCUGGCUCCCAUUUUCUCAUUUUUUGCUUUUUCACUUUCAACAAAAACCCCAAUCACACAAAUCUAAAUCAUUUGUGAGAUUGCAAACAAUCAAUUUGCUAUCUUGACAAUCUAAAAACACACUAUUAAGAGAUUACAUCUCCAAUGUAACCAAACAACUCUUAACAACGGAUAUCUUGGCUCUC